CUCGCAGUUAAAAACACAUUAGUGGACGACACUGCCAGAUCCAUCACCUGGACUAGAAGGACCUAUUAUGAAAAGGCCAAUAAGAUGGAUUCUCUGAUGGCCAGGACACUCAGACCCAGACAGAGACACCCACACAUUACAAGAAUUAAAGACGAACAAGGUCAUAUAAACAAUUCUCCAUCCGACCACAUUAAACCACAUUAGGCAAAACACCAAAUGACAUCU
Non-coding RNA from Pelobates cultripes (western spadefoot toad), 225 nucleotides. The record is from the annotation of a GenBank genome assembly. NCBI's taxonomy places the organism in Eukaryota, Metazoa, Chordata, Amphibia, Anura, Pelobatidae.